Molecule: long non-coding RNA, 967 nt
Filed under: Mytilus galloprovincialis (Mediterranean mussel)
Lineage: Eukaryota; Metazoa; Mollusca; Bivalvia; Mytilida; Mytilidae
Source: RNAcentral
GCAUUUUGAGGAAAUCUGACAGGGAUAAAAAUGUUUAUCAGGUCAAGAUCUAUCUGCCCUGAAAUUUUCAGAUGAAUCGGUCAAUUGGUUGUUGGGUUGCUGCCCCUGAAUUGGUAAUUUUGAGGAAAUUUUGCUGUUUUUGGUUAUUAUCUUGAAUAUUAUUAUAGAUGGAGAUAAACUGUAAACAGCAAUAAUGUUCAGCAAAGUAAGAUCUACAAAUAAGUCAACAUGACCAAAAUGGUCAGUUGACCCGUUUAGGAGUUAUUGCCCUUUAUAGUCAAUUUUUAACCAUUUUUCGUAAAUUAAAGUAAUCUUUUACAAAAAUCUUCUCCUCUGAAACUACUGGGCCAAAUUAAUCCAAACUUGGCCACAAUCAUCUUUGGGGUAUCUAGUUUAAAAAAUAUGUGGCGUGACCUGGUCAACCAACUAAGAUGGACGCCACAGCUAAAAAUAGAACAUAGGGGUAAAAUGCAGUUUUUGGCUUAUAACUCAAAAACCAAAGCAUUUUGAGGAAAUCUGACAGGGAUAAAAAUGUUUAUCAGGUCAAGAUCUAUCUGCCCUGAAAUUUUCAGAUGAAUCGGUCAAUUGGUUGUUGGGUUGCUGCCCCUGAAUUGGUAAUUUUGAGGAAAUUUUGCUGUGUUUGGUUAUUAUCUUGAAUAUUAUUAUAGAUAGAGAUAAACUGUAAACAGCAAUAAUGUUCAGCAAAGUAAGAUCUACAAAUAAGUCAACAUAACCAAAAUGGUCAGUUGACCCGUUUAGGAGUUAUUGCCCUUUAUAGUCAAUUUUUAACCAUUUUUCGUAAAUUAAAGUAAUCUUUUACAAAAAUCUUCUCCUCUGAAACUACUGGGCCAAAUUAAUCCAAACUUGGCCACAAUCAUCUUUGGGGUAUCUAGUUUAAAAAAAUAUGUGGCGUGACCUGGUCAACCAACUAAGAUGGACGCCACAGCUAAAAAUAGAACAUAGGGGU